This is a non-coding RNA of Paramuricea clavata, 725 nucleotides long. The record is from the annotation of a GenBank genome assembly. Lineage: Eukaryota; Metazoa; Cnidaria; Anthozoa; Malacalcyonacea; Plexauridae.
CACACACAGACACAAUUUCAAUGUUUGGUUACUUUUGUUCCAUUCUAUACUCACAUUAACAAAACAGUGAGUUAUAUUGUAACAGGGUGAUAACAGAAUAUGUGCAUGUUAGCUUAUUACGUAUUCACAGUAAUUCCGUCUAUACACCCUUGAAUUCCGUCUACACCCUGGAUUUGCGUCAAUUGCGUGUGUCGAAGUAAUUUGAUUGCAGGGCUCUUUGUAUUCGUACGUGAUAAUCAUCCAGUACGUAAUAAUCAUCCAAUACGCGCCGCUAGUGUGCACACCCCACCCAAAAGCAGACGUGAUUUUCGAAAUAAAGUAAAGCGAUACCACUAUAUAUAUCAAUACAAUAUAAACCUAUUGUCCGGUCAAACGUCAUAUGGUGGUCUACGUCAUCAAUACUUCAUGUCAUCAAUAAUAUUAAAUCGUAUCCGGUUUGACUUUAUAUGUUCAAUAUAGAGUUUUUAGAACAUUAUUUAUGGACAAGAUACUUUAGCGAUGCGAGUGUGCGAUAAGAGUGUGGGAAUUUUCAGGAAGGUCUAAGUCUUGCCAUUUAGGGAAAGAUCAGAAGAGGGCAAAUUGCUAAAUUAAGUCUAUUAUACAUGUUUCUUAAAUUAACUCAUGAUAUAAACCGCGUCCAAUACUUCAAAAACAUGUGUUUUGAAGUAUGCGACGCAGGCUACUCAUGAUAUAUUGCUAAGGCCUUUUCGAAUAGGGGGGGGGGG